Molecule: ribosomal RNA, 402 nt
Filed under: uncultured bacterium
Lineage: Bacteria
Description: bacterial SSU rRNA
Rfam family: Bacterial small subunit ribosomal RNA
Source: RNAcentral
UAGGGAAUAUUGCAAAAUGGGCGAAAGCCCGAUGCAGCAACGCCGCGUGGGCGAUGAAGGCCUUCGGGUCGUAAAGCCCUUUUUGAGGGGAUGAGGAAGGACAGUACCCUCAGAAUAAGCCUCGGCUAACUACGUGCCAGCAGCCGCGGUAAAACGUAGGAGGCGAGCGUUAUCCGGAUUUACUGGGCGUAAAGCGCGUGCAGGCGGAUUGGAGAGUUGGAUGUGAAAGCUCCCGGCUUAACUGGGAGAGGUCGUUCAAUACUUCCAGGCUUGAGUGCAGUAGAGGGAAGUGGAAUUCCGGGGGUAGUGGUGAAAUGCGUAGAUAUCCGGAGGAACACCAGUGUCGAAAGCGGCUUCCUGGACUGUAACUGACGCUCAGACGCGAAAGCUAGGGUAGCAAAC